GCAGAUGAAGAGGAGCCUGCCACUGACCUGCUGAAAUUCCACUCUGGCUCUUUGUGUAGUGUUUGCUCAAUCUGUGAGCACUGCUCUAAUAACUGUGACAAAUGUCCCUGUGAAGAUGAGUCGGAUCACUGUGAGCACUGCCAAGAAUGCUCAUCCUGCUACAUUUGCCCCAUACUGUGUGACACAAUUUGCACACCAGGUGGCCUUGUUGAUGAGCUAACUGGGACCCUCUUUCAGACUGUUGCCUCUCUACUCUGAAUAACCUGAAGACUG
This is a long non-coding RNA of Perca flavescens (yellow perch), 273 nucleotides long. RefSeq lists it as uncharacterized. The transcript is spliced from 5 exons. NCBI's taxonomy places the organism in Eukaryota, Metazoa, Chordata, Actinopteri, Perciformes, Percidae. The record is from RefSeq and is a predicted model, not a curated record.